UACGGGGGGGGCAAGCGUUGUUCGGAAUUACUGGGCGUAAAGGGCUCGUAGGCGGCCAACUAAGUCGGAUGUGAAACCUCCAGGCUCAACCUGGAGACGCCACCUGAUACUGCUGUGGCUAGAGUCCGGUAGGGGAGCGUGGAAUUCCUGGUGUAGCGGUGAAAUGCGCAGAUAUCAGGAGGAACACCAGCGGCGAAGGCGGCGCUCUGGGCCGGAACUGACGCUGAGGAGCGAAAGCGUGGGUAGCAAACAGG
Molecule: ribosomal RNA, 254 nt
Filed under: uncultured bacterium
Lineage: Bacteria
Description: partial 16S ribosomal RNA
Rfam family: Bacterial small subunit ribosomal RNA
Source: RNAcentral